GAUGAACGCUGGCGGCGUGCCUAAUACAUGCAAGUCGAGCGAACAGAUGAGGAGCUUGCUCCUCUGACGUUAGCGGCGGACGGGUGAGUAACACGUGGAUAACCUACCUAUAAGACUGGGAUAACUUCGGGAAACCGGAGCUAAUACCGGAUAAUAUAUUGAACCGCAUGGUUCAAUAGUGAAAGACGGUUUUGCUGUCACUUAUAGAUGGAUCCGCGCCGCAUUAGCUAGUUGGUAAGGUAACGGCUUACCAAGGCAACGAUGCGUAGCCGACCUGAGAGGGUGAUCGGCCACACUGGAACUGGGACACGGUCCAGACUCCUACGGGAGGCAGCAGUAGGGAAUCUUCCGCAAUGGGCGAAAGCCUGACGGAGCAACGCCGCGUGAGUGAUGAAGGUCUUCGGAUCGUAAAACUCUGUUAUUAGGGAAGAACAAAUGUGUAAGUAACCAUGCACGUCUUGACGGUACCUAAUCAGAAAGCCACGGCUAACUACGUG
This 497-nucleotide ribosomal RNA is filed under the name uncultured bacterium. Its description in RNAcentral is "partial 16S ribosomal RNA". It matches the Rfam family "Bacterial small subunit ribosomal RNA", at positions 28 to 507 of the family's 1533-position model. The record is from RNAcentral.